RNAcentral lists this long non-coding RNA (666 nucleotides) under Brachypodium distachyon (stiff brome). RNAcentral describes it as "long non-coding RNA (BDIS_LNC000781)". Lineage: Eukaryota; Viridiplantae; Streptophyta; Magnoliopsida; Poales; Poaceae. The record is from RNAcentral.
GUUUGCAGUCAUGUGGAGACCCAAAUACUUUGAAAUCUUUUGUAAUCUUUUGUAAUUGAAAACCGUUAGCAUCGUUGAAGAUGCCGCACCUUCUUGUUCUGUACUUGAAGCGACCGCUCCCGUACACGGGUUCGAUCUCUGUGCUUUAGUGCUAGUCCCUGGAUCGACUCACUAGUACACACAGUUUCAAGAUGUAAUAUCAUAGAACAAAGGUCUCAAUAUUACAACGGAUCAUCCAGAAUUUAAAAGGUACUUACAACUCGCAUAACCUCACGGGUUAGCUGGAAAUAAAACAACUGUUUAGCAACGGAAAGCGAAAGAUACAAGGGCACAUCAACACCACGGUGAGAGCGUGUUGGAAUGCAGGCCCGUAACCCAAACAAGCAGAAACUACAUCUUACUCGUCGUCGGAGCUUCCUGCAUCAUUAAACGAUCACAUAAGUUGUGACGAUUCCAGAAAGGUGCGGAUCACAAAUUUUGGACAAACGGUUUGAAAGAUAUGAUGUUUUGAAGUUACAGGGGCUUUUCUGUAAAAUUGCAUUAUCUAUUUCGGCCGAAAAAUAAAGUAAAAGAAAAAAAGAAAAAAUCCUGCCACGUGGCGGCGCACGGUUGGCCGGCAUUAGGGUUUUCCCCGGGCGGCGCGAACGGACGGUGAAUGGCGGCGGC